Molecule: ribosomal RNA, 101 nt
Filed under: Cyrtochilum longipes
Lineage: Eukaryota; Viridiplantae; Streptophyta; Magnoliopsida; Asparagales; Orchidaceae
Description: partial 18S ribosomal RNA
Rfam family: Eukaryotic small subunit ribosomal RNA
Source: RNAcentral
UCGCCGCCCGUGACUCGGGAGAAGUCCAUUGAACCUUAUCAUUUAGAGGAAGGAGAAGUCGUAACAAGGUUUCCGUAGGUGAACCUGCGGAAGGAUCAUUG